AUACGGAGGGGGCUAGCGUUGUUCGGAAUUACUGGGCGUAAAGCGCGCGUAGGCGGAUGAUCAAGUUGGGGGUGAAAGCCCGAGGCUCAACCUCGGAACUGCCUUUGAUACUGCAAGUCUGGAGUCCGGAAGAGGUGGGUGGAAUUCCUAGUGUAGAGGUGAAAUUCGUAGAUAUUAGGAAGAACACCGGUGGCGAAGGCGGCCCACUGGUCCGGUACUGACGCUGAGGUGCGAAAGCGUGGGGAGCAAACAGGAUUAGAAACCCCAGUAGUCC
RNAcentral lists this ribosomal RNA (274 nucleotides) under uncultured bacterium. RNAcentral's name for it is "partial 16S ribosomal RNA". It matches the Rfam family "Bacterial small subunit ribosomal RNA", at positions 523 to 796 of the family's 1533-position model. The record is from RNAcentral.